UGGGGGAAUAUUGCACAAUGGGCGAAAGCCUGAUGCAGCAACGCCGCGUGAGUGAUGAAGGUCUUCGGAUUGUAAAGCUCUGUCUUUUGGGACGAUAAUGACGGUACCAAAGGAGGAAGCCACGGCUAACUACGUGCCAGCAGCCGCGGUAAUACGUAGGUGGCGAGCGUUGUCCGGAUUUACUGGGCGUAAAGGGUGCGUAGGCGGAUGUUUAAGUGAGAUGUGAAAUACCCGGGCUUAACUUGGGUGCUGCAUUUCAAACUGGAUAUCUAGAGUGCAGGAGAGGAGAAUGGAAUUCCUAGUGUAGCGGUGAAAUGCGUAGAGAUUAGGAAGAACACCAGUGGCGAAGGCGAUUCUCUGGACUGUAACUGACGCUGAGGCACGAAAGCGUGGGUAGCAAACAGGAUUAGAUACCCUGGUAGUCCACGC
This 429-nucleotide ribosomal RNA is filed under the name uncultured bacterium. Its description in RNAcentral is "partial 16S ribosomal RNA". It matches the Rfam family "Bacterial small subunit ribosomal RNA", at positions 354 to 800 of the family's 1533-position model. The record is from RNAcentral.